UGGACAGAAAGACCCUAUGAAGCUUGACUGUAGCUUGGAAUUGGGUUCGGGCUCUUCUUGCGCAGCCUAGGUGGGAGGCGUUGAAAGUUUUCUUUCGGGAAAACUAGAGCCAACAGUGAGAGACCACUCUGGAGGAGCUAGAAUUCUAAUGGCGUUCCUUGAAGCAGGACGCUUGACAUUUUCAGGUGGGCAGUUUGACUGGGGCGGUCACCUCCUAAAAGGUAACGGAGGUGUGCAAAGGUUCCCUCAGGCUGGACGGAAAUCAGCCGUAGAGUGUAAAGGCAGAAGGGAGCUUGACUGCAAGACCUACAAGUCGAGCAGGGGCGAAAGCCGGCCUUAGUGAUCCGACGGUUCCAUGUGGAAGGGCCGUCGCUCAACGGAUAAAAGUUACUCUAGGGAUAACAGGCUGA
This 410-nucleotide unclassified non-coding RNA is filed under the name Chlorella vulgaris. RNAcentral describes it as "contains 16S-23S intergenic spacer region". It matches the Rfam family "Bacterial large subunit ribosomal RNA", at positions 2077 to 2485 of the family's 2925-position model. Lineage: Eukaryota; Viridiplantae; Chlorophyta; Trebouxiophyceae; Chlorellales; Chlorellaceae. The record is from RNAcentral.